This 434-nucleotide ribosomal RNA is filed under the name uncultured bacterium. Its description in RNAcentral is "partial 16S ribosomal RNA". It matches the Rfam family "Bacterial small subunit ribosomal RNA", at positions 29 to 507 of the family's 1533-position model. The record is from RNAcentral.
AGCGAACGCUGGCGGCAGGCUUAACACAUGCAAGUCGAACGAACCUUUCGGGGUUAGUGGCGGACGGGUGAGUAACACGUGGGAACGUGCCUUUAGGUUCGGAAUCACUCAGGGAAACUUGUGCUAAUACCGAAUGUGCCCUUCGGGGGAAAGAUUUAUCGCCUUUAGAGCGGCCCGCGUCUGAUUAGCUAGUUGGUUGAGGUAAUGGCUCACCAAGGCGACGAUCAGUAGCUGGUCUGAGAGGAUGAUCAGCCACAUUGGGACUGAGACACGGCCCAAACUCCUACGGGAGGCAGCAGUGGGGAAUAUUGCGCAAUGGGCGAAAGCCUGACGCAGCCAUGCCGCGUGAAUGAUGAAGGUCUUAGGAUUGUAAAAUUCUUUCACCGGGGACGAUAAUGACGGUACCCGGAGAAGAAGCCCCGGCUAACUUCGUG